Molecule: ribosomal RNA, 497 nt
Filed under: uncultured bacterium
Lineage: Bacteria
Description: partial 16S ribosomal RNA
Rfam family: Bacterial small subunit ribosomal RNA
Source: RNAcentral
GAUGAACGCUGGCGGCGUGCCUAAUACAUGCAAGUCGAGCGAACGGACGAGAAGCUUGCUUCUCUGAUGUUAGCGGCGGACGGGUGAGUAACACGUGGAUAACCUACCUAUAAGACUGGGAUAACUUCGGGAAACCGGAGCUAAUACCGGAUAAUAUUUUGAACCGCAUGGUUCAAAAGUGAAAGACGGUCUUGCUGGCACUUAUAGAUGGAUCCGCGCUGCAUUAGCUAGUUGGUAAGGUAACGGCUUACCAAGGCAACGAUGCAUAGCCGACCUGAGAGGGUGAUAGGCCACACUGGAACUGAACCACGGACAAGACUACUACGAGACGCAGCAGUAGGGAAUCGUCCGCAAUGGGCGAAAGCCUGACGGAGCAACGCCGCGUGAGUGAUGAAGGCGUUCGGAUCGUAAAAACCUGUUAUGAGGGAAGAACAUCUGUGGAAGUAAAUGUGCCCAUCUUGACGGUAAUUAAUAAGAAAGCAACGGCUAACUACGUG